This is a long non-coding RNA of Numida meleagris (helmeted guineafowl), 1050 nucleotides long. RefSeq lists it as uncharacterized. The record is from RefSeq and is a predicted model, not a curated record. Lineage: Eukaryota; Metazoa; Chordata; Aves; Galliformes; Numididae. The transcript has 3 exons.
UUUCUUCCUUAUAUUUUUUUUCCCCAAUGACCUCCAUGGAACACCCUGACAUCUGCAACAUCCUGCAGAAAGAAGCCAUUGCUUUAACUACAUGGGGCCACAAGUGUUGUUUGUUUAGAGGCUGCCACUUGUAACAUCCUGUUUAUCACCCUGUGAAAGGCACCGAAGAACCAGUAUUGUCCAUCUCUGAAUGUAUCCUGAUUUUACAGACCACUCUCAGCACAGUCUGUGCAUUUGUGUGAAUAUUUGUGCCUAAAAAUGGGAGGAUACGCACCUGCCUUAUAGCCUAAAAUGCUCUAAAAACAGUUACUCACAUCCCACUGCUUUGUUUGCAUCAUACCUCUUCUAAUGAAUUAAGGCUUUAAAAGACUCAAAGGGCAGAAGUAUUGCCACCAAGUAAAUUACCUUAUCUUCCCCAGCUGAGAACAGUGUAAAACGAGCACAGAGAACAGGUGAGCUGUGGAAAAUCACACAAAAGGUGCAUCGAUUUCUCUUCUUUCUUCCCCCUCCCUCUUUCCCACCUCCCAGCUGGUGCCAAAAAGGAGAUAUGAGCUGCUGGGACUUCUAAGAGGAUGAGUCACCUUCUUUCAAGGCCCUGCGACUUGACUUUAAAAAAAAAAAGUCAAUGAGAGAAAAGCCUCAGCAAAGUGAAAACUAAAGUCAGGGAAAGAAAAGCCUCCAAAAAGUGAAAGCUGGCAGAUCUGCUCACACAGAGCAAUGGGGGGAUUAUUCGAGGAAGAUCUGUUAAUGGGAGCAGGAAAGGGAGCUGCCCAAAGGAGAGUGCUAGACACUAUGGACCCUUGCUAAAAAUCAUCCACCCUCUGCGGCACCACUGACCUUGGAAUCGUGUAUCCCCAGCUGGAAGGGACCCACAAGGACUAUCAGCUCCAACCAACUGACGGAAGAGUGCUGAAGGGUUCACACUGAAAGUGCUGCAGCCUUCUACAAUUUGUGGUGUUCAUUAUUAUAUUCCCCAUCUCAUAGCAUCAUUAAGGUAGGUGAAGAUGUCUAAGAUCCCCAAGUCCAAUCCCAACCCAUCCCACCAUGGUG